CUUGGCUGUUUUAAUUUUUUCCCCUCUUUCAGACUGUCAGUCACAAACCGUAUCUUGACUUACAGAGAGAUCUUUUCUUAUUUCAGAAGCCUUUUAUUGUCACUAUGACUGCAGGCUUUAUGCUUAUCUCCUGCUUCUCAGAUAAGCUUCCCCUUCACUAAGAGCCACCCUAUAAUCUCAACCUAUUUAUAUGUGAUUUUACCUCCUUGAGAUAAAUAGAUUAUUUCUGCUUGUUUUAUUUGAAAGGAUUUUAUUUAGGGGACUCGGUUCUGAUACAAUCUAGACUCUUGGCAUUCAGUUAAAAAAUACAAACAAUAAUGAAGAAAGCUUUCAAUUUUCUGAGAAAGGCAUUUUGGCAAGAACUGUACAUACAAAACACUCAUAAAAAAAUAAAAGGUGAAAACAAAUAAACAAUUUGCUUUGCACAGGCAUAAUGCUUUCCAGGCUAGCAAAACUUUGGGGCAUAUUCUUCCGCUGUUGUCAUGCUGCUGACACAGGAAAGAUAAUUCCUGUGCUUAGUUCAUAAGCAAUUAAUAAAUAAUCUUUUAUUUUUCAACAGCUUGCAGUAUACAAAGAGAAGAGAGCCUCUUAAAAAUCUAAUUCCUAUAUUCUCAAGGGCUUGAAGACUCUCUGGGCUGCUGGAAUUAAGUGGCUGUGAUUUUCUGUAAAUCCAGGCAUUUGCUUCAUUAAAACUUUAUGAAAUCUAAACACACUCUUUAUUCCAUGUAUCUCUUACAUGUCUGUCAAACAUUUUUUCUGUUGAUACAUUAAUUUUUAGUGAUAAUGUAUUUUCACUAAAACAUGGAUCAUACACAGAUGAUACCUUACAAGAAAUCCCUACAAAGCAGAGUACUGCUAACCCCUCUAUGUAAACACUUGGAACAGGAGAGCACGUUUGGAAUUUUCUAGACACAUGAAUUGAAUUCUAUUUUUGCUCUCCAAGAGGCCAAGAGCAAAAUACAUGCAGUGAACUUUUCUAAGAAGGAAGACAAGCUUGUUAAACUCACCUUCAAGCAAACAGCAACAGCCCUCAGUCUUUCUUUACAGGUAAGAAACAGAUGCUUUUCAUUACUUUGGGCAAUAACAUCUCAUUAGCACGGCACAUCAGCAAGCUGGGACACAUCAGCUAUACCUGAUUAAGUUGAUUCCAGGUUUCUUCAAGCUUGGCUCAGUCCAAAGGAAAAAUCAAGUUGGUUUAUGCAGUGGAUAACAGGUAGAAGUUCUGAAAACAGUGCUAAGGAUAAGGGCUGAAGUAAAAACUGGCAAACUCAAUUUUGGCCCUAACAGAAGGCUGUCUGCUAUCUCACCCUCUAGGCAGAGAUUUUUUGGCAGUUUAUGAGUGAAUAAUUUUCCCUGCCAAGUAGCUGAAAUGUAUUCUCUGUGACACAUUAUUCUUCAUGGCAGGUCAGGAAGGGUAUCAGUGAAUAGGAGGUCCAGCAUCUCUUUCUGGCAUGGGUUGAACAGCUGAGAUACACUGCCUGCAGGAGCUAAGAGUAUGUAAUUACAGCCUUCACUCACAGAUGUCCUCACUGGCAUGAACUCUAGUUAUAGCCAUUGGUGACAUGUACUUUGGCAAGGUCUUGACAGAAUGGAUAUUUUCCAGGAUGUCUGGAGCAGCUAAGAGUUUGUGGAGCUGCACUUCCAAUGUAGGAGGCUCAGAAGCCAAAGAAGGAGAAUCAAGUUUGAGUAGACUAACAUUGAAGCCUUUGUUGAGAGAUGAUGAAAACUGGUGGAGAGACACUAAACUGUGAAGCACAGUGGAAAGCUGGAACCAUCUCUACUCAAAGCAUCCUUCAGGACUGAUACCCUGGGGGGACAGGGGCAAGCAGGGGGCUGUGAAACACUGCACAAGCCUUGUGGUGCCACUCAUUCCUUGACAGUUUAAUACCACUCAGUAAUUUACAUGGGCUGUGAAACCAGCAGGGUUUGACACCCAUAAGGUCAGCUCUGCCAUCGGGGAUGCAAACUUGGGUCUCAGCAGAGGAAAAAACUAAACUAGUGCAAACAUGUUUUUCUCAGGGAGUCAAGCAAGGUACCUAAGGUAGUAAAAAAUAAUUUAC
This is a non-coding RNA of Cyanistes caeruleus (blue tit), 2060 nucleotides long. The record is from RefSeq and is a predicted model, not a curated record. Lineage: Eukaryota; Metazoa; Chordata; Aves; Passeriformes; Paridae.